Pyrenophora tritici-repentis Pt-1C-BFP is the source of this 106-nucleotide small nucleolar RNA. The record is from Rfam. Lineage: Eukaryota; Fungi; Ascomycota; Dothideomycetes; Pleosporales; Pleosporaceae.
UGCAAUGAUGAUACAUUUGAUAUUCACACUGUGUGAGCGGCGGCGUUGUAACGAGCGUCCGUCGUACUGAUCACUACCACAAAAUCUGAUUUAAUGAGGUAUGUUA